Molecule: ribosomal RNA, 492 nt
Filed under: uncultured bacterium
Lineage: Bacteria
Description: bacterial SSU rRNA
Rfam family: Bacterial small subunit ribosomal RNA
Source: RNAcentral
AUGAACGCUAGCGGCAGGCUUAAUACAUGCAAGUUGAGGGGCAGCAUGAUAUACGCGAGUAUAUUGAUGGCGACCGGCGGACGGGUGAGUAAUAGGUAGGAGACCUACCUCAUACAGGGGGAUAGCAUAGAGAAAUCUGUGGUAAUACCCCAUGAGGUUAUAUGAAUAGAGGCAUAUAAUCAAAGCAUAAGCGAUUAUGCGGUAUGAGAGGGGCCUACUGACCAUUAGCUAGUUGGUGAGGUAAGGGCUCACCAAGGCGAAGAUGGUUAGGGGUUUUGAGAGAGAGACCCCCCACAUUGGAACUGAGAGACGGUCCAGACUCCUACGGGAGGCAGCAGUAGGGAAUAUUGGGCAAUGGGCGAAAGCCUGACCCAGCCAUGCCGCGUGAAGGAAGACGGCCUUAUGGGUUGUAAACUGCUUUUCCACGGGAAGAACCCUCCGACGUGUCGGAGACUGACGGUACCGUGGGAAUAAGCAUCGGCUAACUCCGUG